CCCUUAGAUGUUCUGGGCUGCAUGCGCGCUACACUGAAGCUAUCAACACGUUUUCCCUCCCUGAGAAGGGCGGGUAACCUUUUGAAUCAGCUUCGUGGUAGGGAUCGGGGCUUGCAAUUGUUCCCCGUGAACCAGGAAUUCCUAGUAGACGCGAGUCAUAAGCUCGCAUCGAUUAAGUCCCCGCCCUUUGUACACACCGCCCGUCGCUACUACCGAUUGAACGUUUUAGUGAGGCAUUUGGACCGACGCAUCUCAGUUUAACCGCUGGUUUGUGUUGGAAAGACUUCCAAACUUGAGCGUUUAGAGGAAGUAAAAGUCGUAACA
This 324-nucleotide ribosomal RNA is filed under the name uncultured eukaryote. Its description in RNAcentral is "partial 18S ribosomal RNA". It matches the Rfam family "Eukaryotic small subunit ribosomal RNA", at positions 1470 to 1796 of the family's 1831-position model. The record is from RNAcentral.